UAAAAAAUUUGGCGGUAUUUUAGUCUAUUCAGAGGAACCUGUUCUGUAAUCGAUAAUCCACGAUGGACCUUACUUAAGUUUGUAAUCAGUUUAUAUACCGUCGUUAUUAGAAUAUUUUAUAAGAAUGUUAAUUUUCAUAAUUUUUUAAAAGAAAAUAUAUCAGAUCAGGUGUAGCUAAUAUUUAAGUAGAAAUGGGUUACAAUAAAAAUAUUUAUACGAAUAUAAAUUUGAAAUGUUUAUUGAAGGUGGAUUUGAUAGUAAAAUUAUAAAGAUUAAUAAUUUGAUUUUAGCUCUAAAAUAUGCACACAUCGCCCGUCACUCUUACUACUAAGGUAAGAUAAGUCGUAACAUAGUAGAUGUACUGGAAAGUGUACCUAGAAUGCAAUUUAAAGCUUAUUUAGUAAAGCAUUUCAUUUACAUUGAAAAGAUUUUUGUGCAAAUCAAUAUAAAUUGAUUAGAUUUUAUUUAUUAAUUAUAUUUGUUUUUAAAUUAAAUUAUUAAAAAUAAUUAUAAAAUGAAUUGUUUUAGUAUUUAAUAAAGAAAAAAUAAUAUUAAUUAUAGUGUAAUAGUAUUGUGAAAGAAAAUUGAAAUAAUUUGAAAAAUUUUUAUUUUAAAAGAAAAUUU
This 624-nucleotide ribosomal RNA is filed under the name Compsomyiops fulvicrura. RNAcentral describes it as "partial 12S ribosomal RNA". The stretch from base 383 to 454 matches the Rfam family "tRNA". The record is from RNAcentral. Lineage: Eukaryota; Metazoa; Arthropoda; Insecta; Diptera; Calliphoridae.